This is a long non-coding RNA of Hemibagrus wyckioides, 1321 nucleotides long. RefSeq lists it as uncharacterized. NCBI's taxonomy places the organism in Eukaryota, Metazoa, Chordata, Actinopteri, Siluriformes, Bagridae. The record is from RefSeq and is a predicted model, not a curated record. The transcript has 3 exons.
UACAAACACUCAGCAGAAAAAUCGGAAGCAGGGAAAGAAAAGUAACAGGCAAUAACAUGGAAUUCUCGCUCAGGUGUGAGUAAGGUUUCUCAAGGACACACAAGACCGGUCUUAGCAGAGCUCAGCGAGUGAGAGAGGUGAUUGUUAUUGGCAGCUGCAGGAACCCAGGGGACUCAUUUGACCGCUUGCGUAGCUCAGGUUCUGAUUCUGUGCGUUACAAGAAAGGAACGCAUCAAGAUUCUUCUCGAUUCUGGCCCAGGGGUGAUGGAGGGAAGUUCCUCAUGAUGCCCGAACAGAGGAAUCACUGAUUGUCAUCAAACCACUAAAGACCUAACUCUUCCUGUAUUGGACAGUUUUGAGUGCACUGACUGGAACAGGGUCAGGGAGGCUGUAACCAACGGUGACUCUAUCAACUUGGAGGAGUGACAUCGGCAAGUGCAUCGUUGACGUGGCCGUCUUCAAGACCAUCACCACACGCUCCAACCAGAAGCUGUGGAUGACUGCAAAAGUGCGUGCUCUCCUGAAGUCGAGAGACUCCGCCUUCAGAAGCGUUGUUGCUGUUUCUGUUUGCAAUUAUAUAUUGUAUGUUGUUUAUGUAGCACCAGGGUCCUGGAGAAACGUUGUCUCAUUUCACCAGUAAUGGGCCAUCAUGGCAAGCAAGGCCUUCUCUGCUGGCCUAAACAGCACUGAUCUGAAUCACUGACUUGCAUUUUAAUAUAUUAUAUAUAUUUUUCCAUGAAUGUGUAUUAAAUUAUUCCCAAUAGUCUAUUCUCUACAUUUCAUAGCUUUUCUCUUCGUUGCGCUGCUUCCAGUAGUGUAUAUUUAUGAUAAGAGUAUUUAUCCAAUCAUAUUUCAGCCAGUGGAUGACAUCAUGUGUUGCCAGAGUGAAAGAAAUCUGCCUUAAGGCCUUCAGAAUCAAUAGAGCAGGCACCCAGAGAUUAAAAUAAGUGGCAAUAAAACUAUUCCAUUAACCAAUCAGAUUUCGAGUUGUGUCACUGGGGCCAUCUAGCGUACGAUUACAUCAGCAAUUUCACAUCCUUUGAUUGGAUAAUUGGACUAGUCAGAGGCAGCGAAUCGCACAAACUAAAUAAAAUGCAUAUUUUUGAACUCACAAUGGCUGACAGAGGAGAAGAAUUCGAUUUGGUCGCAGACAUCCUUACAAAUCCAUUUUCAGGGUGGACUGUAAUAAAAUUCCUUGUGAGGUGUGAAAUACUGUAGCCUAAUUUCUUUUUUACUUUGCUAUUUAACGGUUGAUUAGUAUCUAUUGCCGUGUAGUCAAAAUGAUGGUAUAAAGGUGGAUUAAUGCAGGAAGGACACCAGU